Molecule: ribosomal RNA, 253 nt
Filed under: uncultured bacterium
Lineage: Bacteria
Description: partial 16S ribosomal RNA
Rfam family: Bacterial small subunit ribosomal RNA
Source: RNAcentral
UACAGAGGGGGCAAGCGUUGUUCGGAAUUACUGGGCUUAAAGGGCGCGUAGGCGGCCUUCUAAGUCGAACGUGAAAUCCCCGGGCUCAACCCGGGAACUGCGUCCGAUACUGGAAGGCUUGAAUCCGGGAGAGGGAUGCGGAAUUCCAGGUGUAGCGGUGAAAUGCGUAGAUAUCUGGAGGAACACCGGUGGCGAAGGCGGCAUCCUGGACCGGCAUUGACGCUGAGGCGCGAAAGCCAGGGGAGCAAACGGG